UGCGUAGGGGGCAAGCGUUAUCCGGAUUUACUGGGUGUAAGGGGGCGCAGACGGCGAUGCAAGCCAGGAGUGAAAGCCCGGGGCCCAACCCCGGGACUGCUCUUGGAACUGCGUGGCUGGAGUGCAGGAGGGGCAGGCGGAAUUCCUGGUGUAGCGGUGAAAUGCGUAGAUAUCAGGAGGAACACCGGUGGCGAAGGCGGCCUGCUGGACUGCAACUGACGUUGAGGCCCGAAAGCGUGGGGAGCAAACAGG
This 252-nucleotide ribosomal RNA is filed under the name uncultured bacterium. RNAcentral describes it as "partial 16S ribosomal RNA". It matches the Rfam family "Bacterial small subunit ribosomal RNA", at positions 524 to 776 of the family's 1533-position model. The record is from RNAcentral.